GAUUAACGCUGGCGGCAUGCCUAAUACAUGCAAGUCGAACGGAAGCAGCAAUGCUUUAGUGGCGAACGGGUGAGUAACACGUAGGGAACCUACCUAUACGACGAGGAUAACUACUGGAAACGGUAGCUAAAACUGGAUAGGAUCAAUUGAGGCAUCUUGAUUGAUUUAAAGAUCCUUCGGGAUUACGUAGAGAUGGCCCUGCGGCGCAUUAGCUAGUUGGUGAGGUAACGGCCCACCAAGGCGACGAUGCGUAGCUGAGCUGAGAGGCUAAACAGCCACACUGGGACUGAGACACGGCCCAGACUCCUACGGGAGGCAGCAGUAGGGAAUUUUCGGCAAUGGGGGAAACCCUGACCGAGCAAUGCCGCGUGAACGAUGAAGGUCUUCGGAUUGUAAAGUUCUGUGAUUGGGGAAGAAUGGUAUUCUUAGGGAAUGAGGAGUACAUGACGGUACCCGAUUAGAAAGCCCCGGCUAACCUAUGUGCCAGCAGCCGCGGUAAA
RNAcentral lists this ribosomal RNA (500 nucleotides) under uncultured bacterium. RNAcentral's name for it is "bacterial SSU rRNA". It matches the Rfam family "Bacterial small subunit ribosomal RNA", at positions 28 to 524 of the family's 1533-position model. The record is from RNAcentral.